AUCGGCACCAACGCUCAGCUAAUCGAUGUACGCGAGGCGACAAACACCGAGCCGGCACCGUUGGCACCAACGCUCAGCGGAUCGAUGUACGCGAGGCGACAAAACACCGAGCCGGCACCGUUAGCACCAACGCUCAGCGGAUCGAUGUACGCGAGGCGACAAAACACCGAGCCGGCACCGUCGGCACCAACGCUCUGCGGAUCGAUGUACGCGAGGCGACAAAACACCGAGCCGGCACCGUCGGCACCAACGCUCAGCGAAUCAAUGUACGCGAGGCGACAAACACCGAGCCGGCACCGUUAGCACCAACGCUCAGCGGAUCAAUGUACGCGAGGCGACAAAACACCGAGCCGGCAUCAUCGGCACCAACGCUCAGCGAAGCGAUGUACGCGAGGCGACAAAACACAGGCCGGCACUCUGGGAUUAACGCAGCGAGAUCAG
RNAcentral lists this long non-coding RNA (441 nucleotides) under Drosophila guanche. The record is from RNAcentral. Lineage: Eukaryota; Metazoa; Arthropoda; Insecta; Diptera; Drosophilidae.